CAGUCGCCACGGUAAUACGAAGGGGGCUAGCGUUGCUCGGAAUGACUGGGCGUAAAGGGCGCGUAGGCGGAUUGUUUAGUUAGGCGUGAAAUUCCUGGGCUUAACCUGGGGACUGCGCUUAAUACAGGCAGUCUAGAGUGAGGAAGAGGGUUGUGGAAUUCCCAGUGUAGCGGUGAAAUGCGUAGAUAUCGGAAGGAACACCUGUGGCGAAAGCGGCUCACUGGACCAUAACUGACGCUGAGGCACGAAAGCUAGGGGAGCAAACAGGAUUAGAUACCCCAGUAGUCCCUGUCUCUUAUAC
RNAcentral lists this ribosomal RNA (301 nucleotides) under uncultured bacterium. RNAcentral's name for it is "partial 16S ribosomal RNA". It matches the Rfam family "Bacterial small subunit ribosomal RNA", at positions 509 to 807 of the family's 1533-position model. The record is from RNAcentral.